Molecule: transfer RNA, 73 nt
Filed under: Torulaspora quercuum
Lineage: Eukaryota; Fungi; Ascomycota; Saccharomycetes; Saccharomycetales; Saccharomycetaceae
Description: tRNA-Thr
Rfam family: tRNA
About the family: Transfer RNA (tRNA) molecules are approximately 80 nucleotides in length. Their secondary structure includes four short double-helical elements and three loops (D, anti-codon, and T loops). Further hydrogen bonds mediate the characteristic L-shaped molecular structure. tRNAs have two regions of fundamental functional importance: the anti-codon, which is responsible for specific mRNA codon recognition, and the 3' end, to which the tRNAs corresponding amino acid is attached (by aminoacyl-tRNA synthetases). tRNAs cope with the degeneracy of the genetic code in two manners: having more than one tRNA (with a specific anti-codon) for a particular amino acid; and 'wobble' base-pairing, i.e. permitting non-standard base-pairing at the 3rd anti-codon position.
Source: RNAcentral
GUAAAUAUAAUUUAAUCGGCAGAAUAUAUGUUUUUAGGUGCAUAAGAUCUGAGUUCAAAUCUCAGUGUUUACA